This 835-nucleotide long non-coding RNA is filed under the name Oryza brachyantha (malo sina). RNAcentral's name for it is "long non-coding RNA (OBRA_LNC001753)". The record is from RNAcentral. Lineage: Eukaryota; Viridiplantae; Streptophyta; Magnoliopsida; Poales; Poaceae.
CCGACACACAUGCCGGAGGUCGUGGUUGUCCGGUCGAAGUCGCCGUCGCCGUCGCCGGUAGGUCGUCUGAGUCGGCAGGCGUCGGCGGCGAGGGGCGUCGCCGUCGCCGGGUGGCUGCAAGGGGUGGAUGCAAGUGAAACCACGUCGGCAGCGGCAUCGGCAUCGGCAUCGCAGGUCGUGGCGCUGUCGAGGGAAGGUGGCCGAUCGCGGUCGCCGUCACCGUCGCCGGUGCCACAUUAAUAACGAGGCUGCAGAAGAGACGCCAGGAUAAGGCUAGCAUGACAGGGAAUUUGAUUUGAUUCUUCUCCUUGUUUUUAUUUGAUCUUCAUUUUAUUAGCUCUUCAAUUAGAAGCGUGUGUGCUUAGGUUUGCUCUCUAGUCACAUUGUCUUAUUACAUUAGAAAAAAAAAGAAAAUACAUGUAUACCAAGAGAAAAUUCCUCGUGUGUGUUUUGAGUUUUCCCUUAAUUUUCACUGAAGGGAUAAUUGUUUGGUUCUUUCGUGAAAAAAGCAAAACGAAAUAUUUAUAAACAAAAAAUAAAAAUAUCCUACGUUAUUUUCUGUCGCUGUGUUUCAGGAAUUGUCGCAAAAACAGCAAGGUCCUCUCCAAGACAAUACGCUUUCAUUUCUGCCCCUGAAACGCCGCACGUAGGAAAUUAGGUUAAUUUAGAUACAGUAUCUCUCCCAAAAUAUAAAUUAUUAACCGAUAAGUCAUGCCUAAUGAUUAGAAUGGGUUAGGUCCUGCCUAUGAGCUUGCAAGUUUAACUAGCACGACAAGACAUAGGCUGAUGAAAGAUUUUUUUAAUCACGGUGCACUGUAGAGCAUGAAUAUCCCCG